GCUGGGAAGUCAGAGGGUAUGGCCGCCGCCCGCUUCUUCCGCACCACGGAGCCCGUCUGGGGCCCGAGGUUGGGAGCAAAAGCAGAUGGACAGUUUGUAGAGACUUGAGCGAAGCUCAGGCAGCCGGCCCGGCAGGUGCUUCCCGACGCCGACGGUGCCCCAGACGUGCACGUCCCCGGGUGAAAGGUGCUUCAUACGUGACCCCAGUCCGCCUUCUGCCGCGCAAGGCGGGAGCGGACGAGCGUCGGUGGAGCGCUCGUGAGGUUUCCUUGGGUUUGGGGCUUUGGAGGCCAGAGUGGGAGUCGCGUCCGACUGCGGGAGCUGGUGGAGGUCCUGUGUUGGAUGGGGCCUCUGGACUGGAGAAAGUGAAACGUCACGUUAGAAAAAUUGUGUUGGAAGUAGACAAAUGCUGGUGCUUUUUAGUGAGUAUUGAUAGAGAAGUGGACGCCCGUGUCUAACAAAAAUACGGUUCCUAUUAAGUGGUUUAGGGCUUCUUUUUCCUUAAGUCCGUGUACUUAGGUUAAGUCUCAAAGUCACAAUGUAGUAAAAACUCAAAAAGAGGUGAGGACAGUCGACUUUUAAAGAUCUCAGAGAGUCAGUGAGGAAAGGAGGGGGGGGGAAGACCUUUUAUUGGCAGUUGCCGAAUCAAAUGUGUUACUUGUGCUCACUUACCCUCCCCUGGAGCACAUCUUGGAGGCAGGGAAAGGGGAGACACCUAAGGGUGGAGGCCACGGCUCUGGAAUCGGUAGCUGGGUUUGAAUUUCAGGACACACUACUUACUGCCGAUGUGGACUCAGGCAAUGGUUUCACCUAAGUGGCUUUCCACCUCUGCGAAAUGGAGAUAAUGCUCUUACGUCAUCCGUAGGUUGUCAUGAAGAUUAAAUGAAUUUGUUCGUGUUAAGUGCCCAACAGAACUGUGAGCACUCCGUAAGAAUUAGCUGUUAUUUUGAUUAUUAUUUGUAUUUGGUCCCUGUGCAUGUGGUAAGGACUCAACAAAUAUCGGAACUGUUGAGAAUCCAGACAAGACAAGAGCGACCUGUAUGUGGCCCGCGAAUAGAAUGGACCCGAUGGGAAGAAAAACAAGACAACUUUACAAUAUAAUGGUUUGAUUGGGGGAUGAUUUUACCAUAGGUGUGGCAAUUUUGAUAGCUCUAUUAGAAUUAAAAGUAUGAAAGGGCUAAUGGGUGUUGACAUUAUCUAAGGAUAAAUAUGACUUUUUAAAAAAUACAGUUGCCUGUCACUGGGUAGUGUGAGGUAGUGGAGGGUGGAAUGGCAGAAACCUCAACUUAGACUUUCUAGAGUUUUAAUCGUCCUCCAUAAAGACACUACCCAUGGCAGAAUAUUGAACCUAGUAUUCUUUAUGACUGUGGCGUCUUGGUUUUCUGCACCCGGACACCCUCACAUGAUCUGUAUCUGCUCUUCUAUUUCGUUUUCCCUGUCAGUGCUCAGGCCAUUGCCUCCCUUCCCAGCCUAGACAGCAGGGUUUAUCAGCAUCCAAACUCCCUGUGUCUAAGGCCUCUGACCCAGGUGCCUGUCAAAACUGUGGCUCCGAAUGCAUCCCACAAGUCCCGAGCUCGGCUCCCUGAAGGAAACAGUAAACAGGGGCAUAUGACACAUUUGUGGUCUCCAGCUUCGGCUCACCUCCUGCUUCUUGACAGUCUGGUUUCCUCAGAGCUUUCAGUGCCUUCUCACAAACUACCCCUUCCCAGCCCCAACUCCCGUCUUUAUGAGAAGGUGACUAGUGUAGUCCGAAAGGUAUUUUUAAGCCCGUAACACAUUCACAAGCAUCUACAGUUUUUAUACCUGUUUCUGAUCUCAGUUUAAUUCCAUGUUCCCUUUCCAGAUUGCACUUUCCAGGCUGGAUGACAGACCUGCAAGGACUGAGCAGACCUUCGAGUGACAUGAUGGGGGUGCUCAGUGAGACGGCGACAGCCUGCAGCUGGGACCUCCCCGUUAGUGCAGGUGGUGCUCAGUGGUAGCUUCUACUUUAGGUUAAAAUAAACAGAUCUCUUUUUAAAGUGA
Molecule: long non-coding RNA, 2022 nt
Organism: Neogale vison (American mink)
Lineage: Eukaryota; Metazoa; Chordata; Mammalia; Carnivora; Mustelidae
Exons: 2
Source: RefSeq, a predicted model, not a curated record